UGGAUGGCAUCACUAACUCGAUGGAUGUGAGUCUGAGUGAACUCCAGGAGUUGGUGAUGGACAGGGUGGCCUGGUGUGCUGCAAUUCAUGGGGUUGCAAAGAGUUGGACACGACUGAGCGACUGAACUGAACUGAACUGAGCUGAGAAUUCAAAAUCCCAUAGGCGGAUUCUGUACCCACUGAGCCAGCAGGGAAGCCUAAUGGACAGAUGGAUGCCACAUGAAAGCCAGCCAGUCAACACCAAGAAGGACACUGAAGGCUUAUUGAAGAGCUAUGAGAAACAGCAGCGAGGACCCAGAACAUUCCAUAUCUCCAGACUGUGCAUCUUUGUGGGUCUGGGUGGAAUGGGGACCACCUUGUGGACUCUGAUGGCUUUUAUUUACAUCCUGAAUUCCCUUCAGAGUAGUUUUCUUAGGGGCAGUCAAUUUAAGAUGUAAAACCAAAGUGGAAA
Bos taurus (domestic cattle) is the source of this 451-nucleotide long non-coding RNA. NCBI's taxonomy places the organism in Eukaryota, Metazoa, Chordata, Mammalia, Artiodactyla, Bovidae. The record is from Ensembl.